Long non-coding RNA from Hordeum vulgare subsp. vulgare (domesticated barley), 3331 nucleotides. RefSeq lists it as uncharacterized. The record is from RefSeq and is a predicted model, not a curated record. NCBI's taxonomy places the organism in Eukaryota, Viridiplantae, Streptophyta, Magnoliopsida, Poales, Poaceae. The transcript has 3 exons.
GCCGCCAAACCUUGCCGGAAGCCUAGGGUUUGCACCAGGAAGGUCAGGGGCGCCAAGAUCAGCACCCCGACCCCGACCCCGACCCCAACCCCGAGCCCCAAGCAGCAGCAACAGCCAGAGCAACCACCCCAUGCCGUCGUCGAUCCUCUCUACAGGGCGGUGCUCAUGAUCCCCACCGCCACCGCCGCCGCCACCACCACCACCAGCAAGCAGGAUCCCUUGGAGGACUUCCUCGCGCUCGCCCGCCAGCGCGGCCUCAUCUAGCCACCCACCCAUACCCAUUGCCGCCAGUGCAGGGAUGCAUUCUGCGUUUGGACAUGCAAUGUCGUUGGAAAAUGAUACAUUCUGUCACUCCGUGAUGCUAUCAAAUGGACAAAGUCUCGUUGCGCCUUUUCCGUGAUUGAUAGGUGGAUAACCAUAAGAAUUUUGACGAUGGUGAUUAGUUAGCGAGUUUCAGUCAUGCUGUCAGUGUUUCUUAUGCUUCGCCGUUUUGCUGUUCAGUGCCAUGACCAAGCACCAGGAUUCAGUCAUGCCUACGAAGAUAUAUGUAGUUGGAUAGGUUACAGCAAUUCGACACUUUGUGUGUCUCUUAACCAUUUUGCAACUCCACUGCUUCUGAUGUGCGCUGGUUCUCUACUCGCAAUUCUGCAGUCCUGCACACCUAAAAAUAUUAGCUUGUUUCAGCUGUCAGUGUAUGGCCACUGCUAUUUUUAUGCAAAUAAUUUGGCCACACAUUUGCGGUGUUUAUCUUGCUGCACAAUGCACUGAAUUGCUAAUAUAACAUACUUCCCAUUGAGCAUCAACCAUGGCCUGAUUAAAAUUGAUGUACAAUUGUACAUAUUUCACAUAUAUUCACAAUCUUUUUGUCCACCGUGUAAAGCUGUUCAUGGUUAAAAGGGGAAAUGGAUGCAUUAUUUAUGGUGUUCAACUUGGCCUUUGGUUCUGCCAAUAUCAAGAGCACCGCAUUCACGGUCAAAAGAGGGGAGGGGGGAAUACAGUACCAGCGAGUGACACCCUUUUGAUUGUUGAAUGGCUCGUCGCCUUUAGUUUCUUCGCCUAUUUACUGAAUUCGUUUGAUAGAUCUUCAGGACCGUCAGUGCUAGGUUGAUCGAUGGUGAAAUUUAUAACACUGAAACAAAUGAACCUUUGCAUACUUAACCUGUCAUCAUCACAAUGUCUGUUUUCUCUUUGGUUGUCGCGCCUUGCGCCUUUCUGCCGUACCUGUAGCUCUUUUUGACACACCAUGGUUGGAUUGUAUGGCAAAAGUAGACAUCGUUCAACCAAAUCUCCGCAACAGGGAGCGAAUGUUCUGUUCUGUUCUGGUUUUUACCUUGCUGUAUGAAAUAAUCAAUCUGGGCAUUGUUCUUGAGGCGUCGUCGUCUCUGCCUGAGUAUCUGGCACUCACCUAAGCAUGUACUAACCUGUUUUGUUUAUUUUUGUUUUUUGUUUCUGGAGACUUUUGGGUUGACCUCCAUGCGGCUUCUGUUGAUGCUUCAUGGGAGAUAAAUCUGAGCAUGUGCUUUCUCCAGGGAUUGUUUUGCUGGGCACAGUCAGCCACCAUGUAUAGCCACUGCUUCUUCUGUUCAAAUACUCUGGUCACGCCACGCACACCAUCAUCUGGGGUGUUUGUCUUGCUGCACGAUGCACUAAAUUGCGAAACACACUUCCAAUCUUGCAUGAACCAGGCCCUGAUUCAAACUGAUGUGCAUACCACUUUACAUGUAUUCACAAUCUUCUUGUCCACUGUCUUAAUCUGCUCAUGCUUAAAAAAGGAGAACUACAUUAUUUGUGGUGUUUAACUUUGCCUUUGCAGUCAUAAAGGAAAGGUGAAAAGCUCAAGAGAACUAACCACCUACUUCGCUCUUUUGAUUGCUGAAUGGCUGUUGCCUUUAGUUUUUUUCGUCUAUUCCACCGAAUUUGUUUGAUAGGAUCUUGCGAACCAUCAGUGCUUGGUUGACCGAUGGUGAAAUUUAUAAAACACUGAAGCAAAUGAACCUGGCAUACUUAAUCGGUCAACAUCACAAUGUUUUUUUUUUAAAUGGUUGUUGUGCGUUCUGUUUUUUGUUUCUGGAGCUGUUGUUGUGCGUUAUGCUUAAUCUAUCUUAUGAAGCUGUUUUUUUACAAAAAAUCGGUAAGCAUGCGUUCUGCUCAUGGGAAGCUACUUAAUCGGUAAGCUGUUUUUGUUUUGUUUCUGGAGGCCGUUCGGUUAUCCUCCAUGUGGCUUCUGCUCAUGCUCCAUGUAUCUUUACUUGCUUAUUAUGGUCGGCAUGUGCUUUUUCCUGGGAUUGUUUCGUUGGGCACAGCCAGCCACCAUUGUUUCCUGGAAUUCAGCUGAGAUGUCGCUUCCGGCCUCCGUGGGAAUUGUGACCGGGCUGCCCACAACUUUGGGGGAGCUGUGAUCCUAUACUACUAUUAUCUUGAAGUACAAGUAUCACGGAUAACCAGUUUAUUUAUUUAUUGAUCUGGAAGGUCGUGUGAUAAUAAUAUUUGAGACCUUAUCUCGAGUCUUGCUGCUCUCAUGUAGGUUUUUCUUUGCAAAUGGGUGAGCAUCACGCUCCCGUUGUCCGUCGUCGUUGAAGCUCUACUCUCAAGCUUCUCUUUUUCUUAUAUUUUGAUAACGAGUUACCCAGGUAAAUCACGAAGCGUUUGUUUACUGAUGCUGCUGCUCUCUUAAAUGAACCAGCUUUUGGAUUUUCAGCUUACUGAUACCAGAUAUUAAGCAAAUCAAGUGCAAGUACUAAUCUGAUUUUGUUUGUGGAGACUCUUCAGUUGUCCAGCUGAUUUCUGAAUUCGAGAAUUGGAUUGGGAAUUGCCCGGAAGUUUGGGGACGCUGUGAUAAGAUAACCAAUUUAUUUUAUCUGGAAGAACGUGUAAUAACAUUGGACUGGAUUCUCGGGCCUUGUUGUUUUCUUAGACUUUGGUCUUUGUGAUGGUGUGGUGAGCGACGACUCUCCAGAAUUUUCUGAUAUUUUUAGUCCUCAAGCAGUCUUUUGUUUUUCAACUUACUGACGAAGGUGAGUGGAUAUGAGUACAUAAAUUACAAGCACAAGUAAAAUUUACUCAAGAACCUCUACAUAUAUGUAACCUAAGAGCCCGUAAAAUCUUGCAGCCCGUAAAAUUCCGACGAGUAUAUGGGUUUGGACAGAUCAGAUUAGACCCCGUGUACUUGGGCUAGCCCAUAAAGUUUUUAUAGUGGUCCGGAAACAUACCCCCCCGGUAGUAUAUAUCCGGGCCCGCAGCCGCAAUACGGGUCGAAACCCUAUGCCCCCGCCGACACGAUUCCCCAUUUCCCCCUUCAACUUCUCGUUGUCGGUGCCCAAAAUUUGUUACC